This 253-nucleotide ribosomal RNA is filed under the name uncultured bacterium. Its description in RNAcentral is "partial 16S ribosomal RNA". It matches the Rfam family "Bacterial small subunit ribosomal RNA", at positions 524 to 776 of the family's 1533-position model. The record is from RNAcentral.
UACGUAGGGGGCAAGCGUUGUCCGGAUUUAUUGGGCGUAAAGAGCGUGUAGGCGGCCAGGUAGGUCUGCUGUGAAAACUCGAGGCUUAACCUCGAGCUGUCGGCGGAAACCAUCUGGCUAGAGUCCGGAAGAGGAGAAUGGAAUUCCCGGUGUAGCGGUGAAAUGCGCAGAUAUCGGGAAGAACACCGAUGGCGAAGGCACUCUGCUGGGCCGACACUGACACUGAAAGACGAAAGCCAGGGGAGCGAAUGGG